This 66-nucleotide non-coding RNA is filed under the name Reticulomyxa filosa. RNAcentral's name for it is "SAH sequence". It matches the Rfam family "SAH (S-adenosyl-L-homocysteine) riboswitch aptamer". Lineage: Eukaryota; Foraminifera; Reticulomyxidae. The record is from Rfam by way of RNAcentral.
GAUUCCGGGGAGCGCUGCGAGGCUAGCCCCCAGGCCCGGAACAGUUCAAAACGGCGCUCACCUGCU